This 484-nucleotide ribosomal RNA is filed under the name uncultured bacterium. RNAcentral's name for it is "partial 16S ribosomal RNA". It matches the Rfam family "Bacterial small subunit ribosomal RNA", at positions 28 to 507 of the family's 1533-position model. The record is from RNAcentral.
AUUGAACGCUGGCGGCAUGCUUUACACAUGCAAGUCGAACGGCAGCGCGGGCUUCGGCCUGGCGGCGAGUGGCGAACGGGUGAGUUAUGCAUCGGAACGUGCCCAGUAGUGGGGGAUAGCCCGGCGAAAGCCGGAUUAAUACCGCAUACGACCUGAGGGUGAAAGCGGGGGACCGAAAGGCCUCGCGCUAUUGGAGCGGCCGAUGUCGGAUUAGCUAGUUGGUGGGGUAAAGGCUUACCAAGGCGACGAUCCGUAGCUGGUCUGAGAGGACGACCAGCCACACUGGGACUGAGACACGGCCCAGACUCCUACGGGAGGCAGCAGUGGGGAAUUUUGGACAAAGGGGGCAACCCUGAUCCAGCCAUGCCGCGUGCGGGAAGAAGGCCUUCGGGUUGUAAACCGCUUUUGUUCGGGAAGAAAUCCUCUGGGCUAAUACCCCGGGGGGAUGACGGUACCGGAAGAAUAAGCACCGGCUAACUACGUG